AGUCGCUUGGCCAACUCUCCUUGGAUUUUGUCUCCAUGUGAGAACAAGCCUGAGCCAGCUUGCUGGAAGACGAGAGGCAGUUCUGGAGCACCGAAGGGUCAGCCGUGUUGUUCCAGCCGAGGUCUUGGGAGGGGACCCAGGUGGGAUGAGCCGAGCCGGCAGUCGUACCACAGCUGACCACGGGCACAUCGGUUCUGCACUUUGGGCAAGUAUAUUGGAUACCUGAGAUUGGGUGAGAGCAUCCUUUCAGACUGUGGAGCGUGUGUCCUGGCCAUGUGCUCUUCAUUUUUCCCUCAAAAUGUGGGGCCGAGCUUGCGAACCCACGCUUCCGAGAGCACUGACGCUGCCAGGAAACCAAAGGACUCACAGAGGCAUCUCAGAAGGAAAAGUUUGCCAAGUUCACAUUUAGAUGCAAAGAGCAAAACACAUUCUAACUCUGAGAUCUGGGGAUUCCGUUGGAAUGAAGAUUCAGGAAGUGAGGUGCUCAGAGUGACCUUUUCUGCCUCCAGAGCUGCGUGGCUGGUCAGCUGCUCCCCGUGUGAGAGUUCCCAGCCUCUCCACAGGCCGAGUGCCUCUGACAUACGUAGAAGUUUGAGGUGAGGAAGCCACGGCUCCAUGUGUUGUGGGAUUUGCCACAGCCGCACAGCCCAUAAAGCCAAGUCCGAACUUCAAGCAGAGGCUGCUGACGGUCUGGCCACGCUCACCUCUGCUCUUCGCUGCCUCAGCACCACCAUGGUGCUGGGUGGGGGCGGGGGCUGGUAAGCAGAAGGCUUCCCCUAGCUCCUGUGGGGCCAGGGCUGACCCACCACGUGAACGAACUAACACACGAAUAAACGGAGGAAGGAACAGCGUAAGGCAGAAACCACCUUUCUACCUGACUCCUGGCUCCACUCUCCCCUCUCUCCCUGGAUACCCUUCAGCUUUGGGGGUGUCAGUCAUGUGGCACCUCUGUGGGCUUGCUUAGCGGGUGCUCUGGCAUGGGUGUCCUCUAAGAUGCUGGUCUCCUUUCUUUGCCAGCCAGAGCAUGUUAGAGGAAGGGGGAGAGAAACAGCUAGACACCAGGAAGAACUUCCAAGUGAUAUGAGACACCAAGGGGUGUGGGGCCAGGGACAGCUCUGCCACGUCCGUUACCACUCCUGUCCCGCACUGGGCCUCAGUCCCUCAGUCCCAGCACUGAUCCCACAGGACACCCUUUCCUAGAAUUGGAGGCACAGCCAUAGCAGUGCAGGGGACAAGAGGCUCCCCCAUAUGCCUCUCCCUCAAGCAGGUCUAUUUUCUCCUCAUUUAUCCAGCAUCGCUGCGUGUGCUUGGCUCCCAGGUGCAAAGUGAAUCCAGUUUACAUGCGCCAUGCUUUUACCUACCUCUCCUGGAGAUUUCAGCCCGAUGCCUCAUUUGGGUCUCCGGGGAACUUUCUGAUUCAAAUUCCAUUUGAUUCAAAUUCCAUUUGAUUCAAAUUCUGAGAGUGCGUCUUGCCAGAGCCCUGUCUGAGGUCCUCAUCAUGCUCAGUAGCCAGGAAUGGGCGGGAGGCACACAGGGAGCCCCACGGUCUCAUUUGGGGACAGAUGCUGCCACAGGCCUCUGCUGUGUGCCAGACUUCCUGUUACAGGUCUCACGGGAGCUUUCACCGGGGUCUUUCCAGGCAGAGCUGCACAUCUGGCAGCAUCUGGGACCUGAGCCUCUGUGGGCCCCAUCUGUCCUCAGUUUCCCCAUCUGCAAAAUGGAAAUCACAAUAGUUAGAUCUCAGGGAUGAAGAGGUUGUUUAAUGUGUUCCCCAAAUUUCAGUCCAUUGUCUGCCCCCUCAUGAGUU
Long non-coding RNA from Hipposideros armiger (great roundleaf bat), 1807 nucleotides. RefSeq lists it as uncharacterized. NCBI's taxonomy places the organism in Eukaryota, Metazoa, Chordata, Mammalia, Chiroptera, Hipposideridae. The transcript has 5 exons. The record is from RefSeq and is a predicted model, not a curated record.